Molecule: ribosomal RNA, 204 nt
Filed under: uncultured bacterium
Lineage: Bacteria
Description: partial 16S ribosomal RNA
Rfam family: Bacterial small subunit ribosomal RNA
Source: RNAcentral
UACGUAGGGUGCGAGCGUUGUCCGGAAUUAUUGGGCGUAAAGGGCUCGUAGGCGGUUUGUCGCGUCGGGAGUGAAAUCCACUGGCUUAACUGGUGGCUUGCUUUCGAUACGGGCAGACUGGAGGUAUGCAGGGGAGAACGGAAUUCCUGGUGUAGCGGUGAAAUGCGCAGAAUAUCAGGAGGAACACCGGUGGCGAAGGCGGUU